RNAcentral lists this small RNA (1560 nucleotides) under Arabidopsis thaliana (thale cress). Its description in RNAcentral is "ATSL046570". Lineage: Eukaryota; Viridiplantae; Streptophyta; Magnoliopsida; Brassicales; Brassicaceae. The record is from RNAcentral.
CCGCUUUCACAUACUGGAAUUGUUGAAAGAUUGUGGAUUAGAGAAAAAUGUAAGUUAUUUAAAAAAAAAUACCGAAAAAAUUGGUGUACAAUAGAGAAUUUGUACAAAUGAGGUUUUCAAUGCACAUAUUAAAUUUGAUUGUAUAAGAUAGUUUGGAGUUGGUUAGUAAAGAUCUGGAUAAAAUCAGGGAUUAUGUUACAUAUGUGCAGGGGUCUAAGUCUAGAGAAAACAUGUUUCAAAACUGUACGAAAACAGUUGGCAUUCAAGUUAAAAAAAAAUCUGAUUUUAAAUGUCACAACUUAGAGUGUUAGUUGUCUCAUUGAGAACUGCAAAAAACAAACUAAUAUUAUGCUCUGUAGAAUUUGUUAUGUUCAUCUUCUCUAUGUUCUUGAAUUGUAUCCAAUGUUUAAUGAACCAGUCAUGGACAAGCAUAUUAUGAAGCGGGCAUUAAAUGGUCAUUGUCGUUAACGAACAUGGGCUUUAACGGACUGGACGUGAUGGAUAUGAGCGGCCCAAUGGUCAUAAAAUAUUAGGAUAAGUGAUUUGGGGCAAAAUAGAAAAACACUAAUCGUCGAAAAAUAUUUCUUGGUUUCUCCGACAGUCUGGCGAUUACUUUGGCGAUUACUUCUUUCUCCGGCGAAUUCCCUUCAACAUCUUGUCUCCAUCACAUCAUGGCUUCUCCGAAGAUUCCUAAUCCAGUUAGUUCGAUUCAAGUUUGCAAUAACUAGUGUUCGAUAACUAGGUUUUGCAAUUCAAGGUUUUUUCGAUUUCAAUUUAAGAUCCUACGAUUUUGAAAGAGACCCAUUUUCUUUUGUUUAAGAUCAUAGAUGAAGUUCCUGGUAGGUUCUGUUUAACAACAGAUCUUUGGAGAUCAUUUACAAUAUAGGGCUACAUGUGUUUGACUGCACAUUAUAUCGAAUUCGAAGACGAAGAUUCUGUCAUUUUGUGCAUUCCCUAUUCCACAUACUGGUUUUGUUAUAGCCACAAAGGUCUUGGCAUUGUUAAAAGAGUGGGGGAUAGAAAAGAGAGUGUUUACUAUCACAGUCGAUAAUGCAUCAUCAAAUGACAAUAUGCAAGGACUCCUCAAUUUCAAUCCAUUUGAGUCUUAACGCAAAUGUAUUUUUCUGUUGUACUUAAGUGAUCUUAUUGAGUUCGUUAAUGAAGACAAAGAUGGCAAGGGAGAAGAAGAAGAAGUUUAAAUUUGCUUUCAAUUUGCUUUUGGAUUUGAUACUUUGUUGAAUACUUGAAUUGUGUUUAAACUUGCUUUAGAUUUAAUACUUUGUUGUUUAAAUUUGCUUUGGAUUUAAUACUUUGUUGUUUAAAUUUGCUUCGUUGAAUACUUGAAUUGUGAUAUUUUCAAAGUAUUAGACUUCAUACUUAUGUAUUGAUUGAAAUAUGAAUCAAAAACUAUUUGUGUUCAAAUUUGGUUCUUUUCUGACUAUAAAUAUGAUAUUUAUAUAUGGUUAAUACACUACUUUGUAUAUAAAAAUAAUAAAUUAUGUUAUGAUUCUUAUACUGAUCAUAUCUCAGAGGUGUUAUUUUAAAUUUUCUCAUAAUACU